CUGUUGAGAGGGAGUUGUUGUUCCUGAUUUAGUGAGCAACCUCAUGUGGAUCUGUCUCUCCAAUGUCAAGCAGAGCUUUUCCGAGAAUAUUUUGUGGAUUAUUUCAAAUGCAGACAGGAACUCCACCUGUAUCUAAGCCGUGUGGCCCCUGUCCCUCACAGGGUUGGCAGACCCCGAGAAACUUUGCCAGAAGAUGAACGGCUUCUGCGUCGACAAACUUGCCCGUUGCCCCACUCCGCUCAAUGAGAUGCUUCCAUUCAAGUGUCGUGAAGGCCGAAAAUGCUGCAAGCGCCCGUAAAGCUUCAGGCCCCUGGGUUGCAGCAUGUUUUCGUUAGUCAACCUGAUUUCCUGAUGGCUGAUCUUUAUUUGGGGAAGCCAGUGAGGCUCUACCUACUUCAUGCCAAACAAGGCAUGGAUAAAUCCACAGGAUCUCAUCAUUAAAUGCAUGAUUUAAAAUGAA
Molecule: non-coding RNA, 460 nt
Organism: Pogona vitticeps (central bearded dragon)
Lineage: Eukaryota; Metazoa; Chordata; Lepidosauria; Squamata; Agamidae
Source: RefSeq, a predicted model, not a curated record